AUUGAACGCUGGCGGCAGGCCUAACACAUGCAAGUCGAGCGAGCGGCGGACGGGUGCGUAAUGUCUGGGAAACUGCCUGAUGGAGGGGGAUAACUACUGGAAACGGUAGCUAAUACCGCAUACCAUCAGAUGUGCCCAGAUGGGAUUAGCUAGUAGGUGGGGUAACGGCUCACCUAGGCGACGAUCCCUAGCUGGUCGGAGAGGAUGACCAGCCAAACUGGAACUGAGACACGUUCCAGACACCUACGGGAGGCAGCAGUGGGGAAUAUUGCACAAUGGGCGCAAGCCUGAUGCGGCCAUGCCGCGUGUGUGAAGAAGGCCUUGGGGUUGUAAAGCACUUUCAGCGGGGAGGCGUUACCCGCAGAAGAAGCACCGGCUAACUCCGUGCCAGCCGCCGCGGUAAUUC
Molecule: ribosomal RNA, 406 nt
Filed under: uncultured bacterium
Lineage: Bacteria
Description: partial 16S ribosomal RNA
Rfam family: Bacterial small subunit ribosomal RNA
Source: RNAcentral